Molecule: long non-coding RNA, 1073 nt
Organism: Cynoglossus semilaevis (tongue sole)
Lineage: Eukaryota; Metazoa; Chordata; Actinopteri; Pleuronectiformes; Cynoglossidae
Exons: 2
Source: RefSeq, a predicted model, not a curated record
AAAAAGUCAGUGAACGCACCUCUGAGUCGGAGCUGCUGAUGGUCUCCGACUCGUUGACUAGGGAGGACUUGACAUCGUCCAGAUCUCUGACAGUUGGAGAAUGGAGGAGGUGGAGGCGAAGGAGGAGCAGAAGGAGGAGGUGAUGAUAGUGGACGACGAGGAGGAGGUUCUUCUCGGAUCCGGAUUCUCGAUCAGCGGGAAACAGCGCCCCUCACAGGAGAAAUUCAGAGUGCCUGAACAACAGGUUGCUGCCUGUAGUUUCUUCGGACAAGAUACAAAGAGAAGCAACGUUGAGAAGAGUUCACCAAUAUAAACAGUACAUACAUACAGUACAGUACAGAGAAAUGCGUUUUGCUGAAGAAACAAAAUAAAACGGGUAAAACAUUAAACAAUAUAUUUGCUGAACACACCGCAUCGCUGCUCAAAUUAUGUUUUAAUCCUUGGUUGACCCCCUCAGAAAUUAUUAAUCCAUUGCUGCCUUCAUUACUAAUGUGAAAUGCGUUAUUAAGAGCCCAUAGCAACUGUGAUUCAUUGAAUUCCAGUAUAUAUGAAUCCAUGGGUCUGUGAGUUAAAUUCACUGAUUUUCUUUAUAAACUUUGGUCUGUGAGGUAAAAUUACUCACGUUCUUUAUUUACUUUUUACGAAGUAAGAAACAGGGCCGUUUAUUAGGUUCAGUUUCCUGUUGGAAAAAGCUGUGGGAUUAAGCCACAAACAUAUCGUAGACUUACGUUGCAUGACAUGCAUACACACACACACACACUAAUGUUUUGCAAUUAAAUAGUGGGUUCCCUGUGGAGAGAAACCUGGUGGUAAUUAGUGCCCACAGCGUGGUAACCCUCCCUCUGUGUCUUUGUUUGUUUUCUCCUCUUUUUCAGGUUGCUCUGAACCCUCUCUUUGUUCAGCCUUGCCUCCCAGACAGUAACACUAUUAUACCAGUAAUGUUUCGAGCACUGACAUGUGUAUGAAAGAAGUACCUAUAAAACAAAAGCUUUUCUAUGCUUUUUUUAAGUCAAGGCCUUCAGGCCAGUUUUCAGGAAAAAUGCUGUAACACUUACUAAAGCCUCAUGGUUAAA